This 72-nucleotide transfer RNA is filed under the name Bos taurus (domestic cattle). It matches the Rfam family "tRNA". Rfam says of the family: Transfer RNA (tRNA) molecules are approximately 80 nucleotides in length. Their secondary structure includes four short double-helical elements and three loops (D, anti-codon, and T loops). The record is from Rfam by way of RNAcentral. Lineage: Eukaryota; Metazoa; Chordata; Mammalia; Artiodactyla; Bovidae. RNAcentral also lists the same sequence under 6 other names.
UCCCUGGUGGCUCAGAUGGUAAAGCGUCUGCCUACAAUGCAGGAGACCUGGGUUCAAUCCCUGGGUAGGGAA